This is a long non-coding RNA of Bubalus bubalis (water buffalo), 1642 nucleotides long. RefSeq lists it as uncharacterized. NCBI's taxonomy places the organism in Eukaryota, Metazoa, Chordata, Mammalia, Artiodactyla, Bovidae. The transcript is spliced from 3 exons. The record is from RefSeq and is a predicted model, not a curated record.
CCUGAAGAGUUUAUCAAAGAAGCCGUGAGGGGUGUGCCCCUCUGCUGGUUUCCCUGGUAACAAACGAGCCAACCUGAUGUCCAUUCCGCCUCUAAUUAGUAACCUCCCCCGCAACCCUAGGAGCUAAGGUGGCCACCAUGUCCUGUCCGCUGUGGGUCCUACUCGGUGAGAUGUCGCUCCAGGACCGUACUUCAGACAGUUUUCCUCCAACAUGGAUAACUAGGAAAAUAUGAAGGAAGCCUAGUACCAAGGAUCAUGAUCUGGAUCCAGGGUAUGCAGCAUUCACUCUGGCUUCAAGCUCAAGAGCGAUCUUAAAAAGUUGCAAGUUGGAAAGAAGUGAUAAUCUGGAGUUUGAAUUCUGCUGUCUCGUGAUUGUAAUCAAAAUCCUUGAACAGAACUGUCAAGAAUCUAUAGACAUCUGAAGGGCUAAGAAUCUUCAUGGAUUGUUCACGUUUUUUCUACAAUGGGUACAUCUAAUCAAUGGAUGAAUUGAACCUUCCUUAUCUAGGUUUUAGUAUGUGAAAUAUUUAAAUAGACUUUUAUAGAAAGUUUUCAUAUGUGGAAUAUUUUAAAUAUACUUUUAUAAAAAGUCAUCAGCAAUUCACCCAUGUAAUUUUAGGUAGUAAGUGUAAACUUGGUUUUACCCAGUGAAUAUUUCAGAGUAAAAUGUGAAGAUAGACCCAAAGAAAAGUGAUAAUAACUGGAGGAACUCACUCUAAAAUUUCUGGCUUUCCUUCCAUGAGGAUAUGGAAGAUUUUCUUUUCUAAUUAGGAGCAAAAACAUUGAAAUGCUGUGUGUAAAAAUGGGGAAAAGAUGAAAUAAAGAACAUAAAAACUAGAGUGGAGAAGGCUGAGUAUAGAUCAGUUCAAGAAAAAUUUACUUGGCAUUUAUAUCACACCUGGCAUAAUCCUCUGUGUUAGGCAUAGAGAAUGUAGUUACUGAGGGCAACAGAAAUGUAAAUAAUUAUGAUCCAGUAUGACCAGUACUAUGAUAAAAAUGUAUAUAAAAUGCUGAGGGAACACAUAAAGAAAAGGACUCACUCUGCCAUGAUAGAACUCAUGAGAAGAGGUAAUAUUUUAGAUCCUCUUUAAAAAAUAUUUUUACUUUUAACAAGUCCUUUCGUUAUCAUCCCUACUUUGAAAUUCUAUUUCUAGGGACUUUCAAACUUUUCAACAGUUUCCUCUGUUCCUAAGUUUAUUAUUCUAAAUACUACUGUGUGAGUGUGCUUUUUUAAAAAAAAUUUUCAGUAUUACAAAUUGAAAGAUUUCUGUUUGUACACCUAUUUUAUUUUAUAUAGGUAAAACACAUUUUUAUGACUCUAAAUGUCUGAAAGAUACUGAAGAAUCCAAUUGAAAACUGAUGAAAUUGCAUUUCUUUUGUUUUCUUUUUUGGGGUUAAUUUUUCAUUGAAAAUGCUUGUCUGGAUUUUGCACUUCUUUAGUUUGUUUUACACUUAUCAAGUUAUAAAAUUCUUUGAAAUGUCCCUUAAGAACUGUAAAACAUUUGUUGACAUUAUUUUCUAAAUAUUCUAAUUCCUCAGAUACACUACCAGAUUUUUGUUGUUAUUGUUGUGUUUGUUGAGUUGAGUUUGUCUGUUUGUUUAUCAGUUCAGUUCAGUCUCUCAGUCAUGUCCGACUCUUUCC